GUAGUUUUCUACCGCCAUUGAUUUGGAACAACACAGAGAAGAUUAGCAUGGCCCCUGCGUAAGGACGACAUGUAUAACUUGAGAGGUCGCUGGAUGUAGAUCCGGCUUUUAUUCUAACGUUUUUGUUUUUUUUCCGCCGAGAAUUUUGCGUCUUUUCUAGGUGGAGCAGCUGCACCCCGCAAAAUGUUCAACGAGCUUUUCAGAAAGGUUGUG
This 213-nucleotide small nuclear RNA is filed under the name Encephalitozoon cuniculi EcunIII-L. Lineage: Eukaryota; Fungi; Microsporidia; Unikaryonidae. The record is from RNAcentral.